RNAcentral lists this ribosomal RNA (366 nucleotides) under uncultured bacterium. Its description in RNAcentral is "bacterial SSU rRNA". It matches the Rfam family "Bacterial small subunit ribosomal RNA", at positions 30 to 390 of the family's 1533-position model. The record is from RNAcentral.
AUUGAACGCUGGCGGCAGGCCUAACACAUGCAAGUCGAGCGGUAACAGGAGAAAGCUUGCUUUCUUGCUGACGAGCGGCGGACGGGUGAGUAAUGUAUGGGGAUCUGCCCGAUAGAGGGGGAUAACUACUGGAAACGGUGGCUAAUACCGCAUAAUGUCUACGGACCAAAGCAGGGGCUCUUUGGACCUUGCACUAUCGGAUGAACCCAUAUGGGAUUAGCUAGUAGGUGGGGUAAAGGCUCACCUAGGCGACGAUCUCUAGCUGGUCUGAGAGGAUGAUCAGCCACACUGGGACUGAGACACGGCCCAGACUCCUACGGGAGGCAGCAGUGGGGAAUAUUGCACAAUGGGCGCAAGCCUGAUGCA